Sebastes umbrosus (honeycomb rockfish) is the source of this 95-nucleotide long non-coding RNA. RefSeq lists it as uncharacterized. The transcript has 3 exons. Lineage: Eukaryota; Metazoa; Chordata; Actinopteri; Perciformes; Sebastidae. The record is from RefSeq and is a predicted model, not a curated record.
CUGCUCCAUAGACAAUUAAUUGGGAAAGAUGUUGUAGAUGACAUUGAGAGCACCAAGGGGAAUGUUCUGAGUAUAUGGGUACUGAGAAAACUAGA